Molecule: ribosomal RNA, 559 nt
Filed under: uncultured bacterium
Lineage: Bacteria
Description: bacterial SSU rRNA
Rfam family: Bacterial small subunit ribosomal RNA
Source: RNAcentral
AGAGUUUGAUCCUGGCUCAGGAUGAACGCUGGCGGCGUGCCUAACACAUGCAAGUCGAGCGAAGCACAUGAAUACUAUUCUUCGGAUGAGGAUUCUUGUGACUGAGCGGCGGACGGGUGAGUAACGCGUGGGCAACCUGCCUUACGCGGGGGGAUAACAGUUAAAAAUGACUGCUAAUACCGCAUAACACCACAAAACCGCGUGGUUUGGUGGAAAAAACUCCGGUGGUGUAAGAUGGGCCCGCGUCUGAUUAGGUAGUUGGUGGGGUAACGGCCUACCAAGCCGACGAUCAGUAGCCGACCUGAGAGGGUGACCGGCCACAUUGGGACUGACACACCGCCCACACUCCUACGGGAGGCAGCGGUGGGGAAUAUUGCACGGUGGGGGAAACCCUGAUGCAGCCACCCCGCGUGAGCAAUGAAGUAUUUCGGUAUGUAAAGCUCUAUCAGCAGGAAAGAAAAUGACGGUUCCUGACUAAGAACCCCCUGGCUAACUACGUGCCACCCGCCGCGAUAAUACGUAGGGGGCAAGCGUUAUCCUGAUUUUCUUGGGAGUAAAG